GUUUUUAUAGUUUAAAUCUAAAACAUUGGUCUUGUAAAUCAAUAAUAAAUAUUAAUUUUAAAAACU
This 66-nucleotide transfer RNA is filed under the name Euschemon rafflesia. RNAcentral's name for it is "tRNA-Thr". It matches the Rfam family "tRNA". Rfam says of the family: Transfer RNA (tRNA) molecules are approximately 80 nucleotides in length. Lineage: Eukaryota; Metazoa; Arthropoda; Insecta; Lepidoptera; Hesperiidae. The record is from RNAcentral.